Molecule: non-coding RNA, 258 nt
Filed under: Clostridium acidisoli
Lineage: Bacteria; Bacillati; Bacillota; Clostridia; Eubacteriales; Clostridiaceae
Description: T-box sequence
Rfam family: T-box leader
About the family: Uncharged tRNA acts as the effector for transcription antitermination of genes in the T-box leader family. T-boxes are found upstream of many aminoacyl-tRNA synthetase genes and some amino acid biosynthetic genes usually in Gram-positive bacteria.
Source: RNAcentral
AUUAAAACUAAGAUGGAGAAAAAGAUAUUUAAUAUAUUAACUUAAGAGAGUCAGUAUACGGUGAAAGCUGAUGUUAGUAUGAAUAUGUAAUAAUCACUCCGGAGUUUUUUAGUAGAAAGAUUUUAUCAAGUAAACUAAGACGUAUACCAGCGAUAUAUGGUUAGGGUUGAACAUUUAGUAGACCUAAAAUGAGUGGCAGUUAGUAGAACUAAUUGCAAAUAAGGUGGUAACACGGAAAUUUAAUCUUUCGUCCUUAUA